GUGUCGUGUCCUGAGCUGAGGUGUCGUGUCGUGUGCUGAGGUGUCGUGUCGUGUCGUGUCCUGAGCUGAGGUGUCGUGUCGUGUCCUGAGCUGAGGUGUCGUGUCGUUUCCUGAGCUGAGGUGUCGUGUCGUGUCCUGAGCUGAGGUGUUGUGUCGUUUCCUGAGCUGAGGUGUUGUGUUGUUUCCUGAGCUGAGGUGUUGUGUCGUUUCCUGAGCUGAGGUGUUGUGUUGUUUCCUGAGCUGAGGUGUUGUGUCCUGAGCUGAGGUGUUGUGUUGUGUCCUGAGCUGAGGUGUCGUGUCCUGAGCUGAGGUGUCGUGUCCUGAGCUGAGGUGUCGUGUCCUGAGCUGAGGUGUCGUGUCGUGUCCUGAGCUGAGGUGUCGUGUCGUGUCCUGAGCUGAGGUGUCGUGUCGUGUCCUGAGCUGAGGUGUCGUGUCGUGUCCUGAGCUGAGGUGUCGUGUCGUGUCCUGAGCUGAGGUGUCGUGUCGUGUCCUGAGCUGAGGUGUCGUGUCGUGUCCUGAGCUGAGGUGUCGUGUUGUGUCCUGAGCUGAGGUGUCGUGUCGUGUCCUGAGCUGAGGUGUCGUGUCGUGUCCUGAGCUGAGG
Molecule: long non-coding RNA, 601 nt
Organism: Oncorhynchus keta (chum salmon)
Lineage: Eukaryota; Metazoa; Chordata; Actinopteri; Salmoniformes; Salmonidae
Exons: 3
Source: RefSeq, a predicted model, not a curated record